Long non-coding RNA from Aedes aegypti (yellow fever mosquito), 720 nucleotides. RefSeq lists it as uncharacterized. The record is from RefSeq and is a predicted model, not a curated record. Lineage: Eukaryota; Metazoa; Arthropoda; Insecta; Diptera; Culicidae. The transcript is spliced from 2 exons.
AACUGAUCCGAAGAUCAUUAUUGUCCAAAUUCAUAAGAUUUGCGGAUGUAUCAAGAAUUGCGAUUUUUGUCGGGACAUUGAUUCGGAAAUCAAUAUUAAUCAAACAAAAUUAUAAAAAAUUUACAUCUACUGUGAGUUGUUUUUAGCGUGUCCUGUUUGUUUUGUUCUUGAAGUAAAAAAAAAGCAAAAAAGUGAAAAUUUUGUAAAAGAGUGCAAAUAUAUGAAAAAAAGUCUUUUUCCACACCAAAAAUGCUCUUGUUGCUUUCCAUGACACGCCUGCUGAUCCUUGCGUGCUGUCGGUGUUAUUUGCCCAUCACAAACGCUUCAUCGUUAUUGCAGAAACCGCAGAUUUUUCCCCUGUAAUCGAAGGCCGGAUUUUCUACCAGCAAUCGAUUGGAAGAACUAUUUUCGGGUAAUCAACGCAAAGCCAGAUCAGAUCCGAUUUGUAAGAAUUUGUACUCCAUUUGAGAAGUGAAAGGAAAGCAAUGGCACGACAUGACCAGACCCUUGGCAAUCCGGAUACAUAUGGAAACGAGUGUAAAACCUCCAUCAGGAAAAAUAGUGUCCGCAAUAACACCAUGAACGCUAGUGUGUAAUCGGAAUCGAUGGCAAUAUGAAUACAAUUAUUAUAUUAUAACCUUAGGUUCGCCUAUUUAUUUCAAACGAGAAAAACCAACAGUAUGGCUUCGGGUAAAAAUUACAAUAAAGCACCAUAAAACA